RNAcentral lists this ribosomal RNA (203 nucleotides) under uncultured bacterium. RNAcentral's name for it is "partial 16S ribosomal RNA". It matches the Rfam family "Bacterial small subunit ribosomal RNA", at positions 568 to 774 of the family's 1533-position model. The record is from RNAcentral.
UGCGUAGGCGGUUUAGUGGGUGUGAUGUGAAAGCCCCGGGCUUAACCUGGGAAGUGCAUCGCAAACUAUUGAACUGGAGUAGAUGAGAGGGUGGCGGAAUUUCCGGUGUAGCGGUGAAAUGCGUAGAGAUCGGAAGGAACGUCAAUGGCGAAGGCAGCCACCUGGCAUCAUACUGACGCUGAGGCAAGACUGGGGAGCGAACA